Molecule: ribosomal RNA, 253 nt
Filed under: uncultured bacterium
Lineage: Bacteria
Description: partial 16S ribosomal RNA
Rfam family: Bacterial small subunit ribosomal RNA
Source: RNAcentral
UACGGAGGGUGCAAGCGUUAUCCGGAUUUACUGGGCGUAAAGGGCGCGUAGGCGGCGCAACAAGUCACUUGUGAAAUCUCCGGGCUUAACCCGGAGCGGCCAAGUGAUACUGUCGUGCUAGAGUGCGGAAGGGGCUACUGGAAUUCUCGGUGUAGCGGUGAAAUGCGUAGAUAUCGAGAGGAACACCUGCGGCGAAGGCGGGUAGCUGGGCCGACACUGACGCUGAUGCGCGAAAGCCAGGGUAGCGAACCGG